RNAcentral lists this ribosomal RNA (593 nucleotides) under Candida albicans. Its description in RNAcentral is "partial large subunit ribosomal RNA". It matches the Rfam family "Eukaryotic large subunit ribosomal RNA", at positions 65 to 669 of the family's 3401-position model. The record is from RNAcentral. Lineage: Eukaryota; Fungi; Ascomycota; Pichiomycetes; Serinales; Debaryomycetaceae.
CCCSCGGAGYUWUUGCCUUCAGUAGCGGCGAGUGAAGCGGCAAAAGCUCAAAUUUGAAAUCUGGCGUCUUUGGCGUCCGAGUUGUAAUUUGAAGAAGGUAUCUUUGGGCCCGGCUCUUGUCUAUGUUCCUUGGAACAGGACGUCACAGAGGGUGAGAAUCCCGUGCGAUGAGAUGACCCGGGUCUGUGUAAAGUUCCUUCGACGAGUCGAGUUGUUUGGGAAUGCAGCUCUAAGUGGGUGGUAAAUUCCAUCUAAAGCUAAAUAUUGGCGAGAGACCGAUAGCGAACAAGUACAGUGAUGGAAAGAUGAAAAGAACUUUGAAAAGAGAGUGAAAAAGUACGUGAAAUUGUUGAAAGGGAAGGGCUUGAGAUCAGACUUGGUAUUUUGCAUGYUGCUCUCUCGGGGGCGGCCGCUGCGGUUUACCGGGCCAGCAUCGGUUUGGAGCGGCAGGAUAAUGGCGGAGGAAUGUGGCACGGCUUCUGCUGUGUGUUAUAGCCUCUGACGAURCUGCCAGCCUAGACCGAGGACUGCGGUUUUUWCCYARGAAGGUGGSMWWAWGGWUCUAARUCSSCCCKUCUGGAACMMSGACCCAA